CUGCUAUGAAUUUGUCCUGAAACCCUAUAGUGAAAUUUCUCCAAAUGAACAAUAAUAAAAUCUCUAUGAUAGACAAUGUUUAAGGUCUGUACUCCAAGUAGUUUCUAAAGUGGCAGGGAGCCUUCGGCAUUUCCUCAGUAAUUGGUCCCUAAAUUGUAUCAACAAGUGCUUAUGUGCUCUUUAUAGUUUUGCUUGCUUUUGCCUUUAACCAUUUCAAUAUUCUUUCCUGAGCAAAACAUAACCUAUGCUUUAGAACAUUAAUUGAUUUUCCUUGCAACAUCCUAGGGGGUCUGAAGACCGAAGCCUCUUUGAAGAGCUCAUUUUAGGCAACAUUGGAAACGAUUUCAGAACACCAUAUAGGAUUAGUUAGAAAACCACCUGGAAACAUUUGGUAACUUUAGGUCUACCAUCAUGCUGUCACUUAGGUUGAAUCUACAGAUUUUUGGAUCCUUCUAGAGCAUACAUAUUUACCAGCUCACAGACUUAUUUAAGCACUAAAUGAAAUUAGUUCCGUCAGGGUCACAAGAUGGCUGCCAUGGUCAGAUGUCACAAACCCAUAUGGCAGUGUUCUCAGCAGGAAGGACGGGGGGAAGGCUCCUUUUUAUCAGGCAUGUAGCUGGACUCUUGAUAUUUUCCUGCUUCAGGGAUUUUCACAGGAAAGAAAGCAGAAACAAUUUGAAGACAAUUGUAUCUCCUGUCUUUUGUAAAAGCCUAAACAAAAUGAUCUUCAGCUGAGGAGUGUAUUUGACGGUAUUUAGAAAGAAGAGGGAGAGACUUCACCUAGAAUAAAAAGGUCAGAGAAGAAAGGAACAAUCUAGAGCAGGUGGGCUCUGGACACAGAUCUCUGAGCCCCAACAAAUAGUCAUAUGUCCUAAUUGGACCAGAAAAGACCAUGUUCCUGGGAUAAUGGGUAUCUUAAAGAUAGUCUGGGUGGACAGAUAAGUGAUGGCUAGGGUUUUCUCCCUAAUGUUAUGCGGCUGGGUAAGACCCUUGCAGAACCCUGAGGGGAGUCUUGGUAACUUACAUCUCCUGCCAGGAUAAAGAGAUGGGUGUUCAGAUUUAGAUUUAAUUUGAUUGCAGAGAACAAGAGAUUUUCUAUACUCUUGAAUUUGUCAACUAAAAGUCCAAACUGCCUCAAACACAUGGUUCUAUUUACAAAAUAACCAUUUACAAAGUUGGUUUUACAACCAUAUAACUGUUUGUAAUACUCUGUAUAACAUGUUAUCACCUGCAUCAUAUGAUCAUUUGAUGUCAUCUUUAGCAAAAGGACAGAGGGGCCACUUUUAUUAGUUCCUCAAGAAUAGAGCCUUAGAAAUGAUAAAUUCUUAUGAACUAUUGUUCAAAAAUAACCCCUAGUUAUCUUUAGCCUGCUCCAAAUGCCCUUCCCCCGGCUACCCCCUG
Long non-coding RNA from Papio anubis (olive baboon), 1401 nucleotides. The record is from Ensembl. NCBI's taxonomy places the organism in Eukaryota, Metazoa, Chordata, Mammalia, Primates, Cercopithecidae.